GCAACUCGACUCCAUGAAGUCGGAAUCGCUAGUAAUCGCAAAUCAGAAUGUUGCGGUGAAUACGUUCCCGGGCCUUGUACACACCGCCCGUCACACCAUGGGAGUGGGUUGCACCAGAAGUAGAUAGCUUAACCUUCGGGAGGGCGUUUACCACGGUGUGAUUCAUGACUGGGGUGAAGUCGUAACAAGGUAACCCUAGGGGAACCUGGGGUUGGAUCACCUCCUUACCUUAAUGA
Molecule: ribosomal RNA, 236 nt
Filed under: Aeromonas caviae
Lineage: Bacteria; Pseudomonadati; Pseudomonadota; Gammaproteobacteria; Aeromonadales; Aeromonadaceae
Description: partial 16S ribosomal RNA
Rfam family: Bacterial small subunit ribosomal RNA
Source: RNAcentral